This 356-nucleotide ribosomal RNA is filed under the name uncultured bacterium. Its description in RNAcentral is "partial 16S ribosomal RNA". It matches the Rfam family "Bacterial small subunit ribosomal RNA", at positions 338 to 691 of the family's 1533-position model. The record is from RNAcentral.
CCUACGGUGGGCUGCAGUGAGGAAUAUUGGUCAAUGGGCGGGAGCCUGAACCAGCCAAGUCGCGUGAGGGAAGACGGUCCUACGGAUUGUAAACCUCUUUUGCCGGGGAGCAACGGGGGCCUUGCGAGGGCCCGAUGAGAGUACCCGGAGAAAAAGCAGCGGCUAACUCCGUGCCAGCAGCCGCGGUAAUACGGAGGAUGCGAGCGCUAGCCGGAUUUAUUGGGUUUAAAGGGUGCGUAGGCGGGCUGUUAAGUCAGCGGUCAAAUGUCGGGACUCACCCCCGGCCUGCCGUUGAAACUGGCGGCCUCUAGUGGGCGAGAAGUAUGCGGAAUGCUUGGUGUAGCCGUCACAUGCAU